GUGCCAGCAGCCGCGGUAAUACAGAGGGUGCAAGCGUUAAUCGGAAUUACUGGGCGUAAAGCGCGCGUAGGUGGUUUGUUAAGUUGAAUGUGAAAUCCCCGGGCUCAACCUGGGAACUGCAUGCAAGGCUGGCAAACUAGAGUAUGGUAGAGGGUGGUGGAAUUUCCUGUGUAGCGGUGAAAUGCGUAGAUAUAGGAAGGAACACCAGUGGCGAAGGCGACCACCUGGACUGAUACUGACGCUGAGGUGCGAAAGGUGGGGAGCAAACAGGAUUAGAUACCCUGGUAGUCCACGCCGUAAACGAUGUCAACUAGCCGUUGGGAGCCUUGAGCUCUUAGUGGCGCAGUAACGCAUUAUGUUGACCGCCUGGGGAGUACGGCCSCAAGGUUAAAACUCAAAUAAAUUGACGGGA
RNAcentral lists this ribosomal RNA (412 nucleotides) under Pseudomonas syringae. Its description in RNAcentral is "bacterial SSU rRNA". It matches the Rfam family "Bacterial small subunit ribosomal RNA", at positions 505 to 918 of the family's 1533-position model. Lineage: Bacteria; Pseudomonadati; Pseudomonadota; Gammaproteobacteria; Pseudomonadales; Pseudomonadaceae. The record is from RNAcentral.